CAAUAGCGUAUAUUAAAGCUGUUGCAGUUAAAAAGCUCGUAGUUGGAUUUGUGGUGUACUUUGGCGGCCCGUCACUAUGUGAUGGAGCUUGCUGAAGUCGCCAUCCUUGGGUGGAUCCUGUGUGGCAUUAAGUUGUCGUGCAGGGGAUGCCCAUCGUUUACUGUGAAAAAAUUAGAGUGUUCAAAGCAGGCUUAUGCCGUUGAAUAUAUUAGCAUGGAAUAAUAAGAUAGGACCUUGGUACUAUUUUGUUGGUUUGCGCACCAAGGUAAUGAUUAAUAGGGACAGUUGGGGGUAUUCGUAUUUCAUUGUCAGAGGUGAAAUUCUUGGAUUUUUGAAAGACGAACUACUGCGAAAGCAUUUACCAAGGAUGUUUUCAUUAA
This 380-nucleotide ribosomal RNA is filed under the name uncultured eukaryote. RNAcentral describes it as "partial 18S ribosomal RNA". It matches the Rfam family "Eukaryotic small subunit ribosomal RNA", at positions 592 to 976 of the family's 1831-position model. The record is from RNAcentral.